GGUGGUUUGUCGCGUUGUUCGUGAAAACUCACAGCUUAACUGUGGGCGUGCGGGCGAUACGGGCAGACUGGAGUACUGCAGGGGAGACUGGAAUUCCUGGUGUAGCGGUGGAAUGCGCAGAUAUCAGGAGGAACACCGGUGGCGAAGGCGGGUCUCUGGGCAGUAACUGACGCUGAGGAGCGAAAGCGUGGGGAGCGAACAGGAUUAGAUACCCUGGUAGUCCACGCCGUAAACGGUGGGUACUAGGUGUGGGUUUCCUUCCUUGGGAUCCGUGCCGUAGCUAACGCAUUAAGUACCCCGCCUGGGGAGUACGGCCGCAAGGCUAAAACUCAAAGGAAUUGACGGGGGCCCGCACAAGCGGCGGAGCAUGYGGAUUAAUUCGAUGCAACGCGAAGAACCUUACCUGGGUUUGACAUGCACAGGACGYCGGCAGAGAUGUCGGUUCCCUUGUGGCCUGUGUGCAGGUGGUGCAU
Molecule: ribosomal RNA, 473 nt
Filed under: Mycobacterium sp. S132
Lineage: Bacteria; Bacillati; Actinomycetota; Actinomycetes; Mycobacteriales; Mycobacteriaceae
Also listed under: 1 other name
Description: bacterial SSU rRNA
Rfam family: Bacterial small subunit ribosomal RNA
Source: RNAcentral